Molecule: microRNA precursor, 60 nt
Filed under: Drosophila ananassae
Lineage: Eukaryota; Metazoa; Arthropoda; Insecta; Diptera; Drosophilidae
Description: Dan-Mir-960_pre stem-loop
Source: RNAcentral
UGAGUAUUCCUGAUUGCAUAGCUCUGUGUUGUGACUGCUAUACGGUCUGGGACACUUCUA